UUGAUCCGGAGAUUUCCGAAUGGGACAACCUAGCCGUCUGAAGGACGGUUACUCAAUCUUCAAGAUUGAGAGCUAACGCAGGGAACUGAAACAUCUUAGUACCUGCAGGAAGAGAAAAUAAAUGAAUGAUUCCCCCAGUAGUGGCGAGCGAACGGGGAACAGCCCAAACCGUUGACGUCGCAAGGCGCCAGCGGGGUUGUAGGACCGCGACAUUGUAUGCAAAUCGUGAACAGAACACUUUGGAAAAUGUGACCAUAGACGGUGAUAGUCCAGUAUGUGAAGCGAAAUGCAGCAUAGCGGUAUCCUGAGUAGCGCGGGACACGAGGAAUCCUGCGCGAAUCUGCCGGGAGCAUCCGGUAAGGCUAAAUACUCCCGUGAGACCGAUAGCGAACGAGUACUGUGAAGGAAAGGUGAAAAGAACCCCGAGCAGGGGAGUGAAAUAGUUCCUGAAACCAUGCGCCUACAAGCGGUCGGAGCAUCUUACGAUGUGACGGCGUGCCUUUUGCAUAAUGAUCCUACGAGUUACCGUCACUGGCGAGGUUGAGUGUCAUGAGACACGUAGCCGCAGUGAAAGCGAGCCUGAACAGGGCGCAUAGUCAGUGGGGGUAGACGCGAAACCAAGUGAUCUACACUUGGCCAGGAUGAAGUCCCGGUAACACGGGAUGGAGGUCCGCACCAAUAAGCGUUGAAAAGCUUCUGGAUGAGCCGAGUGUAGGAGUGAAAGGCCAAUCAAACUUGGAGAUAGCUCGUACUCCCCGAAAGGCAUUUAGGUGCCGCGUCGGAUGGUCACCGUGAGAGGUAGAGCGACCGAUAGGACAAGAGGGCUUCACCGCCUAUCGAGUCCUGACGAACUCCGAAUGCUCACGGUCUGCAGUCCGGCAGUAAGGGGGCGGGUGCUAAGGUCCGUCCCCGAGAGGAGAAGAAUCCAGACCGCCGUCUAAGGUCCCGGAGUUCUGCCUGAGUUAGUCUAACGAAGUCUGGUCCCUAUGACAGCUAGGAUGUUGGCUUGGAAGCAGCCAUUCAUUCAAAGAGUGCGUAACAGCUCACUAGUCGAGGGUCCGGGCAUGGAUAAUAAUCGGGUAUAAGGCAGACACCGAAGGCGCGGGAUAGCAUUUAAGAAAGUAUCGGUAGGGGAGCAUACUCACAGCGUUGAAUGGUGUACGUAAGUUAUCCUGGAGCGGUGAGUAAAGCAAAUGUAGGAAUAAGUAACGAUAAGGAGGGUUAGAUUCCCUCCCGCUGUAAGACCAAGGUUUCCCGGGCUAUGCCAAUCAGCCCGGGGUCAGUCGGGUCCUAAGUCUCAGCCGAACGGCGAUGGCGAUGGCAGAGACGGUUAAUAUUCCGUCACUGCCGCAUGGGGCGACGUGGAGACGGAGCAGUGAAACCACCGCGGGGCGACGGAAGUCCCCGUUGAAGAGUGUAGGUGUUGAGGAUGGCAGGCAAAUCCACCAUCCGAGCUGAACUUGAUAGUAUGGAGUCUUCUUCGGAAGAAUCCAAUAGUGUGGGUAAUCAUACUCCCGAGAAAAUCCGCUAAGCUUAACCCAUGCGGCACCCGUACCGCAAACGGACACACGUGGUCGGGUAGAACAUACUAAGGCGUUGAGAGAUUCAUGGUUAAGGAACUAGGCAAAUUGACCCUGUAACUUCGGGAUAAAGGGUCCUCGUGAUGAGCGAGGCGCAGAGAAUAGGUCCAGGCAACUGUUUAACAAAAACACAGGGCUGUGCAAACUCGAAAGAUGACGUAUACAGCCUGACACCUGCCCGGUGCCGGAAGGUUAAGAGGAGAUGUCACACUUAUGUGGAAGCAUUGAAUUGAAGCCCCGGUAAACGGCGGCCGUAACUAUAACGGUCCUAAGGUAGCGAAAUUCCUUGUCGGGUAAGUUC
RNAcentral lists this ribosomal RNA (1881 nucleotides) under human gut metagenome. RNAcentral describes it as "bacterial LSU rRNA". It matches the Rfam family "Bacterial large subunit ribosomal RNA", at positions 99 to 1983 of the family's 2925-position model. The record is from RNAcentral.